Molecule: ribosomal RNA, 198 nt
Filed under: Triticum aestivum (bread wheat)
Lineage: Eukaryota; Viridiplantae; Streptophyta; Magnoliopsida; Poales; Poaceae
Description: partial small subunit ribosomal RNA
Source: RNAcentral
AUGCCGGCCAGGUGCCAUGCGGAGAGAGUGGAGCCGCGGUGCUGCGCGCGGUGGAGACGCCGCCGCCGCAUGUCACCGGAAAUCACGAGCUGCGGAGAGCUCCGAGAUCCCCUGCCCAGGGGUGGACUCGGCGCCCCGCGGGUGGUGGUGUUGCGACCAGCGCUAGACGGUGCUGGGACCGGUGUCCGCCGGUUCUAG